Molecule: unclassified non-coding RNA, 338 nt
Filed under: soil metagenome
Description: partial contains 5.8S ribosomal RNA, internal transcribed spacer 2, and large subunit ribosomal RNA
Rfam family: 5.8S ribosomal RNA (bases 1-120)
Source: RNAcentral
GAUGAAGAACGUAGCGAAAUGCGAUAAGUAAUGUGAAUUGCAGAAUUCAGUGAAUCAUCGAAUCUUUGAACGCACAUUGCGCCCGGUAGUAUUCUGCCGGGCAUGCCUGUUCGAGCGUCAUUUCAACCAUCAAGCCCCAGCGCUUGUGUUGGGGGCCUGCGGCUGCCGCAGCCCCCUAAAAGCAGUGGCGGGCUCGCUAUCACACGGAGUGCAGUAGUUCAUCUUCUCUCCGGUCUUGUGAGGCGGGUUCCGGCCGUGAAACACCCCACUACAUUCAAGGUUGACCUCGGAUCAGGUAGGAAUACCGGCUGAACUUAAGCAUAUCAAUAAGCGGAGGA